CGCGCAGGCGGCUGGGCAAGUCCGAUGUGAAAGCUUCCGGCUUAACUGGAAAAUUGCAUCGGAAACUGCUCGGCUUGAAGGUGGGAGAGGGUAGCGGAAUUCCCGGUGUAGUGGUGAAAUGCGUAGAUAUCGGGAGGAACACCAGUGGCGAAGGCGGCUACCUGGCCCACUCUUGACGCUGAGGCGCGAAAGCUAGGGGAGCAAACG
This 207-nucleotide ribosomal RNA is filed under the name uncultured bacterium. Its description in RNAcentral is "partial 16S ribosomal RNA". It matches the Rfam family "Bacterial small subunit ribosomal RNA", at positions 568 to 774 of the family's 1533-position model. The record is from RNAcentral.